Molecule: small RNA, 392 nt
Filed under: Pongo abelii (Sumatran orangutan)
Lineage: Eukaryota; Metazoa; Chordata; Mammalia; Primates; Hominidae
Description: retained intron
Source: RNAcentral
CCGAGGUGGAUGGACCGCUUAAACGGCUGCUCGUGCCGAUUCUUUUACCUGAGAAAUGCUACGACCAACUUUUCGUUCAGUGGGACUUGCUUCACGUCCCCUGCCUCAAGAUUCUCCUCAGCAAAGGCCUGGGGCUGGGCAUUGUGGCUGGCUCACUUCUAGCUGCCCCAGGUGUUUAAAAUCCUGGGAGCCAAGAGUGCCGAAGGGUUGAGUCUCCAGUCUGUAAUGCUGGAGCUAGUGGCAUUGACUGGGACCAUGGUCUACAGCAUCACUAACAACUUCCCAUUCAGGUGAGGGGCCCACCCUUCCACCCCAAGGGUAAUACCCACAACUCUAAUGGGGAUUCAGGUGAAGGAGGUUACAAGGCAGGAAAGUGGCCAGGCCCAGUGGCU